This 5103-nucleotide long non-coding RNA is filed under the name Lynx canadensis (Canada lynx). Its description in RNAcentral is "lncRNA (ENSLCNG00005009476.1)". The record is from RNAcentral. Lineage: Eukaryota; Metazoa; Chordata; Mammalia; Carnivora; Felidae.
GUCCGGACCAGGAAAAACAUUGCACAAAUGGGCGGACGUUGUGUUCCACACUGUGCAAGAUUCUUUGGAGGGUUUCAGUGGAGGAGUGAUAUACUUUGGAGAAAAUACCAGUCUGGCAGCACAGGGAGAAUGGGCGGAGGGAGAGGGAGAAACCCAGACAAGAAGCUGCCGUGGUGAUCUGGGCACUGAUGAUGGCGGCUGGACCUGCCAUACAAUGGGACAUUCGAGAAACAUUUCGAGGUUGAGUGGAGAAGCAAAUGGACUCAAGAAUCCAAGAGUGGGGGCUCCAGCCUAGACAGAGCACAGGUGUCCCCUGCUCUCUGGAAGCGGAGCAUUCCUAUGAACACUUUCGAAAACCAAAGUGGCGGAAAGUGGUGAGUCAAUUACCAGUAACUUACACGGAGCAAAUGCUGAGCAUUCCCAGAACCCCAAAUCACCUCUCUGGCUUUUUUGCAACCUUAGGACACAGCUUGCCGACAGAUGCACAAAAUCAAUGGAGACAAAUCACAGAUACUCAGAGACGCAGUUCAAAGCUCUGGAGGCCGGAUGCGGAGACUCGGAGUUGCUGAGGGUGCGUCCCAAGAAGGAGCUGGGUGGGGGCGGGGGAGGGGGCUGCUCUUCUGCUCAGGGGCAGUGCUGCCUCUACAAAUGCUGAACGCUACUGCGGCCUUUAUUGUAAAAGUGAACAACCUCUUGAGAUUUCUUUCCGUUAGCAAAAACAGCAGGUCCUAACGUAGGUCUUUGUAAAAGCAAAGUAGCCUAACUACUGAAGGCCUGAGCUUUCGAAACGCGGGGGACACCUGAACCCAGGGAUCUCUACCCUUACCUCUACCUAUGUUCCCAGGCUCGGCUCUCAGUGUCCUCAGCCCUCCCUGCUCCCCCUGGGUCCCACCUUGUAAGUGCCAGCUGCAGGCCUAUGGUGGGCGCUGCCUGGAUCGCCCCUCACAUUUUCCCAUCUCCCAUCCUUACUGAAGGUCUUAUAUGGGAAGGAAGACUUUCCCGCGAUAGAGGGUCCCUAUCAGUCUUCCCAAUUCCCUUUCUCCUACAUAAACUCAGAAUCAACUUCUUCUUUUAAACAGAUGUUUAUUCAUUUUGAGAAAAAAUGAGAGAGAGUGUGUGCAUGAGAGCGGGAGGGGCAGAGAGAGAGAGAGAGAGACAGAAUCCCAAGCUAUCAGCGCAGAGCCCAACAUGGAGUUCGAGCCCACAAACUGCGGGAUCAUGACCUGAGCCGAAAUCAAGAGUCAAACACUUAACCGGCUGAGCCACCCAGGCACCCCCAGAAUCCACUCCUUUUUUUCUAUAGCUCUGAGAAAGUCAAUGGACAGGGUUAUUCUGGUUCUUGUCCAUGCAUUGGAAUUCUUUGCGUGGAUUCAUCUUGCAGAUGUCAGAGUUACUUCGUCGUAAGACAAGGAUAAUUCAACAACUAUUUAUUAAAUUGUGUACGCUGCUUCCCCCCAAGUUUACUCGAUGGAAAAUCUUAAUGUGCCUGAAAACAGAAGUUCAGGGGCCCUUUCAGAUAAGAACAGAUGAAUCUUGAAGGUCAGAGCACUGGGGAGAAAUGUGUGUGAGCUGAAGGCACAGAGGAAAUGCUUGCUCACUGGGUGUUUUCCAGGAUAGUUAUUUAAGCAAUUGCAUUGCUCUGUCUUUAUCCUGGCACAAGAAAGAACAACUACUAAAAAUCCACAGGGCAUGAUCACAUUCCAACAAAAAAGUAGCAGCCAGAAAUGAAUCAGCUAUUUUAUACAGCGGUUAUCUUAGGACUGUAGUGACUGAUGUCAGGUAGGUGCAGGCAUGAUUUUACAGGUCUGUGCAACGGAGAGCCCCAAACCACUUCCCUGUCUUUCUGUUCUGAAAAGCAGGACACAGUUGCAUUUACAAAGAAGUCAUCUUUAAGACUUUAAAAAAAUUCAACUGUAAUUAACCUACGGUGUGACGUUAGUUUCAGGUGUACAAUGUAGGGAUUCCACACUUCCUUACCUUACUCAGUGCUCAUCAUGGGUGAACUCUUAAUCCCCUUCACCCGUUUCACCCAAUCGUCCACCCACCUCCCCUCUUGGUAACCAUCUGCUUGUUCUGUGUAGUUAAGAGUCUGGGUUUUUUUGCUUGUCUCUUUUUUUAAUUUGUUUGUUUGCUGUGCUUCUUAAAUUCCACAUAUGAGUGACAUCACAUGGUAUUCGUCUUUCUCUGACUUCUUUCACUUUGCAUUACACCCUCUCGAUCCAUCCAUGUUGUUGCAGACGGCAAGAUUUCAUUCUUUUCUAUGGCUGAAUAAUAUUCCAUUGUAGAUAGAUGCCACAUCUUUAUCCGUUCAUCUAUCGAUGGACCCUUGGGUGGCUUCUCUUGGCUAUUGUAAGUAAUGCUGCAGUAGCCAUAGGACGGCAUGUAUCUUUCUGAAUUGGUGUUUUUGUAACUUCUUGGGGAAAUACCCAGGAGUGGAAUUACUGAGUCAUAUGGUAAAUUCUAUUUUUAAUUUUUUAAGGAAUGUCCAAUCUGUUUUCCACAGUGGCUGCACCAGUUUGCAUUCCCACCAGUAGUGCACUAGGAUUCCUUUUGCUCCGUACCCUUGCCAACACCUGUCAUUUCUUGUGUUUUUUAUUUUAGCCAUUCUGACCAGUGUGAGGUGAUUGCCCCUUGUAAUUUUGAGUUUCAUUUCCCUGAUGAUGAGUGAUGUUGAGCAUCUUUUCAUGUGUCUGCUGGCCAUCUCUACAUCUUCUUUGGAAAAUUGUCUGUUCAUGUCCACUGACCAUAUAUUAAUUGCAUCGUUGUCUUUUGGGUGUUGACUUGUAUAAGUUCUUUAUAUAUUUUGCGUAUUGACCUCUUAUUGGAUGCAUCAUUUGCAAAUAACCUCUAUUCAUCUUUUGGUUUUGUUGAUGCUUGUUGUCACCGUGCAAAAGCUUUUUACUUUGAUAUGGUUGCAAUAAUUAAUUUUGCUUUUGUUUUCUUUGCCAAAAGAGACAUAUCUGGAAAAAUAUUUCUUUUUUAAAAAAUGCUUAUUUAUUUAUUUUUGAGAGAGAGAGAGAGAGAGUGAGUGUGGGGAAGGGCAGAGAGAGAAGGAGGGAGAGAGAAUCCCAAGCAGGCUCCACAUUAUCAGUGCAGAGCCUGACCCAGGACUUGAUCCCAUGGACUGUGAGAUCAUGACUUUAGCUGAAAUCAAGAGUUGGUCACUUAACCGACUGAGCCACCCAGGCACUUCUGGAAAAAUAUUUCUGUGGCUGAUGUCAAAGAGAUUACUGCCUACGUUUUUUGUUUUGUUUUGUUUUUUGUUUUGUCUUGUUUUGUUUUUUUCCUAAGACUUUUAUGGUUUCAGGUCUCACAUUUAGGUCUUUCAUUUUGAGUUUACUUUUGUAUAUGGUGUAAGAAAGUGGUCCAAUUUCAUUCUUUUGCAUGUAACUGCCCAGUUUUCCCAACACGAUUUGCUGAAGAGACUGUCUGCUUCCUAUCGUAUAGUCUUGCCUCUUUUGUUAUAGACUAAUUGACCAUAAAAGCUUGGGUUUAUUUCUGGACUCUUCAUUUUGUUCUACUGAUCUAUGUACUUCUUUUUGGCCAGUACCAUACUGUUUUGAUUACUAUAGCUUUGUAGUACACCUUGAAAACUGGGAUUGUGAUACAUCAAGUCUUGCUCUUUUUUUUUUUUUUUUUCAAAAUUGCUUUGGCUGUUCAGGGUCUUUUUCGGUUGCGUAGAAAUUUAGGAUUAUUUGUUCUAGUUCUGUGAAAAAUGCUGUUGGUAUUUUGAUAGGGAUUGCAUUGCAUGUGCAGAUUGCUUUGGGUAGUAUUUUAUUUUAUUUUAACAAUGUUGGUUCUUCCAACUCAUGAACAUAGACUAUCUUUCCAUUUACUUGUGCCGUCUUUAAUUUCUUUCACCAAAGUUUUAUAGUUUUCAGAGUACAGGUCAUUUACCUCCUUAGUUAAGUUUUAAGGCUUCUUUAACAGCAACUAAAAAGUAACCUGAAGUGUGUCCUGUGUUAAAGGCCCGGUUCAUAACAUUAUUCCAAGCUCCUUUAACUCAGGCUCAUUCAGGGGGCUGAUAGGACACCUGGGCUUGCCUCAUUUGUGUGCCACUCGGACUGUCCCAGGAUGGCCGGUAAAAGCAGUUUCAUAUUCCGCAACAGUCGACAGAACCUGACCUGCAGACUGUGCUGAUUGCCUUCACUAUUUACCCUUAACUGGAAAGAGUGAUCUGAAUACGGAUGGCCGAAUGGAAGCAACCAGUUCAAGGAAGCAGUCCAUGGCGGGCUGGUCCACGAUCACUAGGAACUGAGCCUAGAGGUUUGUUUUUCUCUUUUAAUAGGCGGAUGAUAGCAGAAGACUGCUCGAGUCUGGCGCAUGGCUUGGGAAUGCUGUGCUCAGGAUGUGCUUCUAUCGUCUGGCAGAAUGUGAAGGACGCUCUGUAAUAACCCCUGAUAACACUGGAUCCCUUCUCCUUGGAACCACAGUCCCCUCCUAACUGAUGUUACAGGAUGAAGAAACACCCAAGGAACUCUGCCUUGGGAGGACGAAAUAAUACGACCUGGGAUCACCUUUCCCUUUGAAUCUCAAAAUGUCCUCUUCUGUCUAUAAAGGAUGCUUCACCACUUCGCAAAUGGUAAUAAAUGGUGCAAGAAUGAAAAAAAAAAUCUUUGACCUGGGCUGAUAGGACCAAGAAAUGUGAAACAUACCCAAGGGAAACUCUGACCCACUUAGGCUUCUACCAGAAAAAAAAUUGCCCCAAAUCCUCCAAAACCACCCCCUCCCCCAGCAAAUAAACAAAAAACCCCAGGAUUUCAUAGUUACUUCCUGUCCUAUUUUAAACAGGGCCUUAAAAAGACAAGUAAGAGAUAAAUUUAGCAAGGUUUACAAGUCAGAAGGACCCAUUAAGGAAGUGCACAAAAGGCCAUGUGAGGUUCUGCUAUGGAUAUUUGCAUCAACAACAACAACAACAACAGGGAAGUGGCCUUGAGUCCUGGGUCAGGACUCUCCCCCAGGGUUGGUAUAUAAGCCCCUCCCCCAGCAGGAGGCGGCACCAGACCUCCCUCACCUCCCGAGUCUCCCUCCUCCCCUCUCCCGAGUCCUCUCUGCCGACACCAUGGGGUGCUGUGGCUGCGGAAGUUGCGGCGGCUGCGGCGG